CUGUGGUUAAAGUUGAAACAAAUUCAUGGUUUCAAUGGGUCAGGUCAAAGUACCCUACGCAUAGGCCGGAAGAGACAUUAUCCAGAAAACUCGAUUUCAUGUCAUGUCUUAAUGAGCCUGACUCAAAAGAGAAAAUAAGACCAGACUAAAAGACCAUCGUCUCAAUGAAUAUCUGUACUGGGACACUCAGGCUAACAUUAUUUCUGUAAUCUAGUCUGCAUAGAGGUCUCAAGGAUUUUAAGCACUUGCUGGUCUUGAAAGAAAAUGCAUUCUGAUAUUCCCUUAAAACUCCAAACCACAGCAAACACAAACACCUAUGCAAGAUUUUAUGAUCUCUCUCCCUGGACAAAACCCUAAUAUGAUCCCAAAAUGUGAUCUUCAUAACUAUCAUGAUUCACAUAAUCCUCUCCAUUUUGAUCAAAACCUACAUCGUAAUUCUCACAACUCUCAUUACUUUGAUCAACCCCAUAUCCAGAACUAGAAGUGGACCCAUUAGUUUCAAUCACAGACCUCCUUCCAGACCCAGAACCAAUGAAGCAACCCCUAAAGUAGCUUAAGUUCUUGGAACAGGUAUACUAGACAAAAACCCUUCACUGAAGAAGAAUCAGAUUGCAAAAAAGUCUCAUUCUGUUUUCUUUUCCUCUCCUUUCCCUCCUCAUCCUCCUCAUCCAAAAUCGAGUGCCUGUUAAUGGGAGGCUUAAACUGAACAACCCUUUUAGGAUUAGCAUUUAAAGGCGUGAAACUUGAUAUGGGUUGCUGUGAAGUUUCAGUUUUUGGCUGUGGAAAUGAAGAGAAAAGCUUAAGAUGGAAGAUUUGAAGGGACCCCAAAUCUAUAGUAAGCCAGCACGAUUCUCGUCCAUGGAGUCACCACAAGUUAGCCUUGCCCGGUACUGAAGAAAUAAAGAUGCACGAAGAACAGAUGAUAUAGUUUGGCUCUCGUUGCCAGGGCCCAGGUGGGUAUGUUAAUGAAAACUAUUUUACAUAAUCAUUGAUAGAAAUGUAUAAAGUUAUGUAUAGUUUUUUGAUAUUAUAUAGAGGGGUCGGAGAUACUUGAUUGUGAUUACUUAGUUUAGAGUAUAAACAAGAUAUCGGAAAUUAAAAUUUAUAUAAAUUUUACUGACUUU
Molecule: long non-coding RNA, 1124 nt
Organism: Populus trichocarpa (black cottonwood)
Lineage: Eukaryota; Viridiplantae; Streptophyta; Magnoliopsida; Malpighiales; Salicaceae
Exons: 2
Source: RefSeq, a predicted model, not a curated record